CAUAAUAUAAUGUUAAAGAGCCGCGGUAUUCUGACCGUGCAAAGGUAGCAUAAUCAUUAGUUCUUUAAUUGAGAACUUGUAUGAAUGGUCGGACAAGAGAAAUCCUGUCUCUGCUAUUAUAGUAGAAUUUAACUUUUAAGUGAAAAGGCUUAAAUUUUUCAAGGGGACGAUAAGACCCUAUAAAGCUUUAUAUAUUAAUUAGAAUUAAUUAAAUUGAAUAAAUAAAAAUUUAGUCUUAAAAAUAUAUUUAGUUGGGGCGACGAAAGUAUAAUUAAUAAUAACUGCUUAAAUUUAAUACAAUAAUAAAUGAUUUUUUUUUAAUUGAUCCUUUUUAAAGAUUAAAGACCAAGUUACUUUAGGGAUAACAGCGUAAUUUU
This 377-nucleotide ribosomal RNA is filed under the name Chaceon sp. E-TTGD-2002. Its description in RNAcentral is "partial 16S ribosomal RNA". Lineage: Eukaryota; Metazoa; Arthropoda; Malacostraca; Decapoda; Geryonidae. The record is from RNAcentral.